CCGGGGGCGGUACCCGGCGCCUCCACCAAAAUAUAAUCAAUAAAGCUUAUACUUUGGUGGGGGCGAAAUAGGAUCGACAAGGGUGUAAAGAUUGCUCUUUUACUCGGCAUUGUACCACCGUCAUCGGACUAAAUUAGUAGUUGCAAACGACAACUAUGCGGAAGCACGUCUCGCUGCUUAAGCAGUGCGAAGGCUUCAAAUCAAGCCUUAAACCGUCGCAGGUUUAAGCGGGGUCCGGAGGCACCUGGCAACACAAGCAACGCAGAAAA
This 269-nucleotide small RNA is filed under the name Bartonella bovis. RNAcentral's name for it is "partial small stable RNA A". It matches the Rfam family "Alphaproteobacteria transfer-messenger RNA", at positions 92 to 355 of the family's 355-position model. Rfam says of the family: Bacterial tmRNA, also known as 10Sa RNA or SsrA, is named for its dual tRNA and mRNA-like properties. Its role is to liberate the mRNA from a stalled ribosome. To accomplish this part of the tmRNA is used as a reading frame that ends in a translation stop signal. The record is from RNAcentral. Lineage: Bacteria; Pseudomonadati; Pseudomonadota; Alphaproteobacteria; Hyphomicrobiales; Bartonellaceae.